CAGUCGCCACGGUAAUACGUAGGGCGCAAGCGUUGACCGGAAUUAUUGGGCGUAAAGAGCUCGUAGGCGGUCUGUCGCGUCUGGUGUGAAAUCCCGAGGCUCAACCUCGGGCUUGCAUCGGGUACGGGCAGACUAGAGUGCGGUAGGGGAGACUGGAAUUCCUGGUGUAGCGGUGGAAUGCGCAGAUAUCAGGAGGAACACCGAUGGCGAAGGCAGGUCUCUGGGCCGCAACUGACGCUGAGGAGCGAAAGCAUGGGGAGCGAACAGGAUUAGAUACCCGCGUAGUCCCUGUCUCUUAUAC
This 301-nucleotide ribosomal RNA is filed under the name uncultured bacterium. RNAcentral describes it as "partial 16S ribosomal RNA". It matches the Rfam family "Bacterial small subunit ribosomal RNA", at positions 509 to 807 of the family's 1533-position model. The record is from RNAcentral.